UACGAAGGGGGCGAGCGUUGUUCGGAAUUACUGGGCGUAAAGGGCGCGCAGGCGGCCUUAGAAGUCAGAUGUGAAAGCCCCCGGGCUCAACCUGGGAAUGGCAUUUGAUACUCUGAGGCUGGAGUACGGGAGAGGAGAGUGGAAUUCCCAGUGUAGAGGUGAAAUUCGUAGAUAUUGGGAAGAACACCGGUGGCGAAGGCGGCUCUCUGGACCGUAACUGACGCUGAGGCGCGAAAGCGUGGGGAGCAAACAGG
Molecule: ribosomal RNA, 254 nt
Filed under: uncultured bacterium
Lineage: Bacteria
Description: partial 16S ribosomal RNA
Rfam family: Bacterial small subunit ribosomal RNA
Source: RNAcentral